This 2904-nucleotide ribosomal RNA is filed under the name Escherichia coli UMEA 3176-1. RNAcentral describes it as "bacterial LSU rRNA". It matches the Rfam family "Bacterial large subunit ribosomal RNA". Lineage: Bacteria; Pseudomonadati; Pseudomonadota; Gammaproteobacteria; Enterobacterales; Enterobacteriaceae. The record is from RNAcentral.
UUAAGCGACUAAGCGUACACGGUGGAUGCCCUGGCAGUCAGAGGCGAUGAAGGACGUGCUAAUCUGCGAUAAGCGUCGGUAAGGUGAUAUGAACCGUUAUAACCGGCGAUUUCCGAAUGGGGAAACCCAGUGUGAUUCGUCACACUAUCAUUAACUGAAUCCAUAGGUUAAUGAGGCGAACCGGGGGAACUGAAACAUCUAAGUACCCCGAGGAAAAGAAAUCAACCGAGAUUCCCCCAGUAGCGGCGAGCGAACGGGGAGCAGCCCAGAGCCUGAAUCAGUGUGUGUGUUAGUGGAAGCGUCUGGAAAGGCGCGCGAUACAGGGUGACAGCCCCGUACACAAAAAUGCACAUGCUGUGAGCUCGAUGAGUAGGGCGGGACACGUGGUAUCCUGUCUGAAUAUGGGGGGACCAUCCUCCAAGGCUAAAUACUCCUGACUGACCGAUAGUGAACCAGUACCGUGAGGGAAAGGCGAAAAGAACCCCGGCGAGGGGAGUGAAAAAGAACCUGAAACCGUGUACGUACAAGCAGUGGGAGCACAGAGCAAUCUGUGUGACUGCGUACCUUUUGUAUAAUGGGUCAGCGACUUAUAUUCUGUAGCAAGGUUAACCGAAUAGGGGAGCCGAAGGGAAACCGAGUCUUAACUGGGCGUUAAGUUGCAGGGUAUAGACCCGAAACCCGGUGAUCUAGCCAUGGGCAGGUUGAAGGUUGGGUAACACUAACUGGAGGACCGAACCGACUAAUGUUGAAAAAUUAGCGGAUGACUUGUGGCUGGGGGUGAAAGGCCAAUCAAACCGGGAGAUAGCUGGUUCUCCCCGAAAGCUAUUUAGGUAGCGCCUCGUGAAUUCAUCUCCGGGGGUAGAGCACUGUUUCGGCAAGGGGGUCAUCCCGACUUACCAACCCGAUGCAAACUACGAAUACCGGAGAAUGUUAUCACGGGAGACACACGGCGGGUGCUAACGUCCGUCGUGAAGAGGGAAACAACCCAGACCGCCAGCUAAGGUCCCAAAGUCAUGGUUAAGUGGGAAACGAUGUGGGAAGGCCCAGACAGCCAGGAUGUUGGCUUAGAAGCAGCCAUCAUUUAAAGAAAGCGUAAUAGCUCACUGGUCGAGUCGGCCUGCGCGGAAGAUGUAACGGGGCUAAACCAUGCACCGAAGCUGCGGCAGCGACGCUGAUGCGUUGUUGGGUAGGGGAGCGUUCUGUAAGCCUGUGAAGGUGUGCUGUGAGGCAUGCUGGAGGUAUCAGAAGUGCGAAUGCUGACAUAAGUAACGAUAAAGCGGGUGAAAAGCCCGCUCGCCGGAAGACCAAGGGUUCCUGUCCAACGUUAAUCGGGGCAGGGUGAGUCGACCCCUAAGGCGAGGCCGAAAGGCGUAGUCGAUGGGAAACAGGUUAAUAUUCCUGUACUUGGUGUUACUGCGAAGGGGGGACGGAGAAGGCUAUGUUGGCCGGGCGACGGUUGUCCCGGUUUAAGCGUGUAGGCUGGUUUUCCAGGCAAAUCCGGAAAAUCAAGGCUGAGGCGUGAUGACGAGGCACUACGGUGCUGAAGCAACAAAUGCCCUGCUUCCAGGAAAAGCCUCUAAGCAUCAGGUAACAUCAAAUCGUACCCCAAACCGACACAGGUGGUCAGGUAGAGAAUACCAAGGCGCUUGAGAGAACUCGGGUGAAGGAACUAGGCAAAAUGGUGCCGUAACUUCGGGAGAAGGCACGCUGAUAUGUAGGUGAAGUCCCUCGCGGAUGGAGCUGAAAUCAGUCGAAGAUACCAGCUGGCUGCAACUGUUUAUUAAAAACACAGCACUGUGCAAACACGAAAGUGGACGUAUACGGUGUGACGCCUGCCCGGUGCCGGAAGGUUAAUUGAUGGGGUCAGCGCAAGCGAAGCUCUUGAUCGAAGCCCCGGUAAACGGCGGCCGUAACUAUAACGGUCCUAAGGUAGCGAAAUUCCUUGUCGGGUAAGUUCCGACCUGCACGAAUGGCGUAAUGAUGGCCAGGCUGUCUCCACCCGAGACUCAGUGAAAUUGAACUCGCUGUGAAGAUGCAGUGUACCCGCGGCAAGACGGAAAGACCCCGUGAACCUUUACUAUAGCUUGACACUGAACAUUGAGCCUUGAUGUGUAGGAUAGGUGGGAGGCUUUGAAGUGUGGACGCCAGUCUGCAUGGAGCCGACCUUGAAAUACCACCCUUUAAUGUUUGAUGUUCUAACGUGGACCCGUAAUCCGGGUUGCGGACAGUGUCUGGUGGGUAGUUUGACUGGGGCGGUCUCCUCCUAAAGAGUAACGGAGGAGCACGAAGGUUGGCUAAUCCUGGUCGGACAUCAGGAGGUUAGUGCAAUGGCAUAAGCCAGCUUGACUGCGAGCGUGACGGCGCGAGCAGGUGCGAAAGCAGGUCAUAGUGAUCCGGUGGUUCUGAAUGGAAGGGCCAUCGCUCAACGGAUAAAAGGUACUCCGGGGAUAACAGGCUGAUACCGCCCAAGAGUUCAUAUCGACGGCGGUGUUUGGCACCUCGAUGUCGGCUCAUCACAUCCUGGGGCUGAAGUAGGUCCCAAGGGUAUGGCUGUUCGCCAUUUAAAGUGGUACGCGAGCUGGGUUUAGAACGUCGUGAGACAGUUCGGUCCCUAUCUGCCGUGGGCGCUGGAGAAUUGAGGGGGGCUGCUCCUAGUACGAGAGGACCGGAGUGGACGCAUCACUGGUGUUCGGGUUGUCAUGCCAAUGGCACUGCCCGGUAGCUAAAUGCGGAAGAGAUAAGUGCUGAAAGCAUCUAAGCACGAAACUUGCCCCGAGAUGAGUUCUCCCUGACUCCUUGAGAGUCCUGAAGGAACGUUGAAGACGACGACGUUGAUAGGCCGGGUGUGUAAGCGCAGCGAUGCGUUGAGCUAACCGGUACUAAUGAACCGUGAGGCUUAACCUU